Mirounga angustirostris (Northern elephant seal) is the source of this 831-nucleotide long non-coding RNA. RefSeq lists it as uncharacterized. The record is from RefSeq and is a predicted model, not a curated record. The transcript has 4 exons. NCBI's taxonomy places the organism in Eukaryota, Metazoa, Chordata, Mammalia, Carnivora, Phocidae.
CCUCACGUGACCACGCUGGCUCCCUGAUCGUGGACUUCCAGCCUCCGGAACUAGGCGAAGCCCACUUCUCUUGUUUAUAAGCUAUCUAGUCUGGGGUAUUUUGCCACAAGAGCACCAACAAAGACACUAUCCAAGCAGCAAAAGUUGUGAAAAACUCAAAAAUUACAUUGUUUGGGAUUUGGAAUCCGGGGGGCUGUGCUCAAAGCAGCAACGAUGAUUCCUACCUCUUGUCUGUGCUGUUUCUGAACAGGGAAACAAUGAUAUUUAAAGACACCCAGAAACCUCAACGAAAAUGUCUGUGGGCCGUGCCUGAGCGGUCUGCUGAACAGAAUCGGGGUCUAAUGUGAAGAAUCAGCCGGCUCCAAUACUUGAAAGGCCCAGACGCAUAAAGGAUGUAUGUGCUGAGGCAGCUGCAAUUCAUAAAUUAAGAAGGUGACCAGCUUCCCCGCCGUGAGGUGUAAAGGCUCCUGUGGAGCACGGGCUGGAGUUGGCCAGUGUCUUGGCUCCGCUGCUGUCACCUUCCUGUCCGACUAGCGUCACCCAGCCUUCCAUGCCAGGACCGCAUCCCCUCCUGGCUGCUCGUGAGGCUUCAGAGCAAACAUCUGGCUCCCCUUAUUCUGACCCAACCUUACUUGGCACAUUUCAUGAUACAGCCAAAUCUAACAGACCUAUGCACGAGGUCCCACGCACUAAGGACUUUCUAACUGGAUGUAUUUGAUUCUCCCUGGGACUGACACCUAUGAAGCCACCAACUGCAGACACACAAGCACUGAGGAAUCCAGCGCCCCACUGCCUUGAGUCAGUUCUAUUCAGAAGCACUGCUUUCCCUCU